RNAcentral lists this ribosomal RNA (254 nucleotides) under uncultured bacterium. Its description in RNAcentral is "partial 16S ribosomal RNA". It matches the Rfam family "Bacterial small subunit ribosomal RNA", at positions 524 to 776 of the family's 1533-position model. The record is from RNAcentral.
UACGUAGGCAGCGAGCGUUGUUCGGAGUUACUGGGCGUAAAGGGUGUGUAGGCGGUUCUUUAAGUUUGGUGUGAAAUCUCCCGGCUCAACCGGGAGGGUGCGCCGAAUACUGAGGAACUUCGAGUGCGGGAGAGGAAAGUGGAAUUCCUGGUGUAGCGGUGAAAUGCGUAGAUAUCAGGAGGAACACCGGUGGUGUAGACGGCUUUCUGGACCGUAACUGACGCUGAGACACGAAAGCGUGGGUAGCAAACAGG